GAUUAUAUAGUCUAGUAGUAUAAUAUCUAGUAUUUAUAGUAGAAGACGUAGGUUCGAAUCCUACCCUAAUUA
This is a transfer RNA of Verticillium longisporum, 72 nucleotides long. It matches the Rfam family "tRNA". From Rfam's summary of the family: Transfer RNA (tRNA) molecules are approximately 80 nucleotides in length. Their secondary structure includes four short double-helical elements and three loops (D, anti-codon, and T loops). Further hydrogen bonds mediate the characteristic L-shaped molecular structure. tRNAs have two regions of fundamental functional importance: the anti-codon, which is responsible for specific mRNA codon recognition, and the 3' end, to which the tRNAs corresponding amino acid is attached (by aminoacyl-tRNA synthetases). tRNAs cope with the degeneracy of the genetic code in two manners: having more than one tRNA (with a specific anti-codon) for a particular amino acid; and 'wobble' base-pairing, i.e. permitting non-standard base-pairing at the 3rd anti-codon position. NCBI's taxonomy places the organism in Eukaryota, Fungi, Ascomycota, Sordariomycetes, Glomerellales, Plectosphaerellaceae. The record is from Rfam.